GAGUUUGAUCCUGGCUCAGAUUGAACGCUGGCGGCAUGCCUAACACAUGCAAGUCGAACGGUAGCAGGCCUUCGGGUGCUGACGAGUGGCGGACGGGUGAGUAAUGCGUAGGAAUCUGUCUUUUAGUGGGGGACAACCCAGGGAAACUUGGGCUAAUACCGCAUGAGCCCUGAGGGGGAAAGCGGGGGAUCUUCGGACCUCGCGCUAAGAGAAGAGCCUACGUCUGAUUAGCUAGUUGGUAGGGUAAAGGCCUACCAAGGCGACGAUCAGUAGCUGGUCUGAGAGGACGACCAGCCACACUGGGACUGAGACACGGCCCAGACUCCCACGGGAGGCAGCAGUGGGGAAUUUUUCGCAAUGGGGGCAACCCUGACGAAGCAAUGCCGCGUGGAUGAAGAAGGCCUUCGGGUUGUAAAGUCCUUUCGUGGGGGACGAAAAGGUGGUUCCUAAUACGAGCUGCUGUUGACGUGAACCCAAGAAGAAGCACCGGCUAACUCCGUGCCAGCAGCCGCGGUAAUACGGGGGGUGCAAGCGUUAAUCGGAAUCACUGGGCGUAAAGGGUGCGUAGGCGGUACGUUAGGUCUGUCGUGAAAUCCCCGGGCUCAACCUGGGAAUGGCGGUAGAAACCGGCGAACUAGAGUAUGGGAGAGGGUGGUGGAAUUCCAGGUGUAGCGGUGAAAUGCGUAGAGAUCUGGAGGAACAUCAGUGGCGAAGGCGGCCACCUGGCCCAAUACUGACG
This 739-nucleotide ribosomal RNA is filed under the name uncultured bacterium. Its description in RNAcentral is "bacterial SSU rRNA". It matches the Rfam family "Bacterial small subunit ribosomal RNA", at positions 9 to 745 of the family's 1533-position model. The record is from RNAcentral.